GACGAACGCUGGCGGCGUGCUUAACACAUGCAAGUCGAACGGAAAGGCCCUGCUUUUGUGGCGUGCUCGAGUGGCGAACGGGUGAGUAACACGUGAGUAACCUGCCCUUGUCUUUGGGAUAACUUCAGGAAACUGGGGCUCAUACCGGAUAGGAGCUCCUGCUGCAUGGUGGGGGUUGGAAAGUUUCGGCGGUUGGGGAUGGACUCGCGGGUUAUCAGCUUGUUGGUGGGGUAGUGGCUUACCAAGGCUUUGACGGGUAGCCGGCCUGAGAGGGUGGCCGGCGACAUGGGGCCUGAGGUAGGGCGCAGUCUGCAACGGGAGGCAGCAGGGGGGAAUAUUGCAGAAUGGGCGGAAGCCUGAUGCAGCAGCGCCGGGUGCGGGAAGACGGCCUACGGGUUGUAAACCGCUGUCGCCUGUGACGAAGCGUGAGUGACGGUAAUGGGUAAAGAAGCAACGGCUAACUACGUG
Molecule: ribosomal RNA, 468 nt
Filed under: uncultured bacterium
Lineage: Bacteria
Description: partial 16S ribosomal RNA
Rfam family: Bacterial small subunit ribosomal RNA
Source: RNAcentral